UCCUAGGGUAAAACUGGUGACUGGGGCUAAGUCGUAACAAGGUAGCCGUACCGGAAGGUGCGGCUGGAACACCUCCUUU
RNAcentral lists this ribosomal RNA (79 nucleotides) under Bacteroides fragilis. RNAcentral describes it as "partial 16S ribosomal RNA". It matches the Rfam family "Bacterial small subunit ribosomal RNA", at positions 1455 to 1533 of the family's 1533-position model. Lineage: Bacteria; Pseudomonadati; Bacteroidota; Bacteroidia; Bacteroidales; Bacteroidaceae. The record is from RNAcentral.